This 253-nucleotide ribosomal RNA is filed under the name uncultured prokaryote. RNAcentral describes it as "partial 16S ribosomal RNA". It matches the Rfam family "Bacterial small subunit ribosomal RNA", at positions 524 to 776 of the family's 1533-position model. The record is from RNAcentral.
UACGAAGGGGGCUAGCGUUGUUCGGAUUUACUGGGCGUAAAGCGCACGUAGGCGGAUCUUUAAGUCAGGGGUGAAAUGCCGGAGCUCAACUUCGGAACUGCCUUUGAUACUGGAGAUCUUGAGUUCGGGAGAGGUGAGUGGAACUGCGAGUGUAGAGGUGAAAUUCGUAGAUAUUCGCAAGAACACCAGUGGCGAAGGCGGCUCACUGGCCCGAUACUGACGCUGAGGUGCGAAAGCGUGGGGAGCAAACAGG